Molecule: non-coding RNA, 26 nt
Filed under: Cricetulus griseus (Chinese hamster)
Lineage: Eukaryota; Metazoa; Chordata; Mammalia; Rodentia; Cricetidae
Source: RNAcentral
UUUUGUCCAUGUAAACACUGUCAAGC